UCCGAUAUAGUGUAGGGGCUAUCACAUCACGCUCUCAUUCUGAGAACCGUGGAGACCGGGGUUCGAUUCCCCGUAUCGGAG
This is a transfer RNA of Yarrowia lipolytica, 81 nucleotides long. It matches the Rfam family "tRNA". Rfam says of the family: Transfer RNA (tRNA) molecules are approximately 80 nucleotides in length. The record is from Rfam. Lineage: Eukaryota; Fungi; Ascomycota; Dipodascomycetes; Dipodascales.